This 467-nucleotide ribosomal RNA is filed under the name uncultured bacterium. Its description in RNAcentral is "partial 16S ribosomal RNA". It matches the Rfam family "Bacterial small subunit ribosomal RNA", at positions 29 to 507 of the family's 1533-position model. The record is from RNAcentral.
ACGAACGCUGGCGGCGUGCUUAACCCCUGCAAGUCGAACGGAAAGGCCCUGCUUUUGUGGGGUGCUCGAGUGGCGAACGGGUGAGUAACACGUGAGUAACCUGCCCUUGACUUUGGGAUAACUUCAGGAAACUGGGGCUAAUACCGGAUAGGAGCUCCUGCUGCAUGGUGGGGGUUGGAAAGUUUCGGCGGUUGGGGAUGGACUCGCGGCUUAUCAGCUUGUUGGUGGGGUAGUGGCUUACCAAGGCUUUGACGGGUAGCCGGCCUGAGAGGGUGACCGGCCACAUUGGGACUGAGAUACGGCCCAGACUCCUGCGGGAGGCAGCAGUGGGGAAUAUUGCACAAUGGGCGGAAGCCUGAUGCAGCAACGCCGCGUGCGGGAUGACGGCCUUCGGGUUGUAAACCGCUUUCGCCUGUGACGAAGCGUGAGUGACGGUAAUGGGUAAAGAAGCACCGGCUAACUACGUG